AAUGGGGGCAACCCUGACGCAGCGACGCCGCGUGGAUGAUGAAGGCCCUUGGGUCGUAAAAUCCUGUCAGAUGGAAAGAAACGUAUAUAUGCUAAUACCGUAUAUAUUUGACGGUACCAUCAAAGGAAGCACCGGCUAACUCCGUGCCAGCAGCCGCGGUAAUACGGAGGGUGCAAGCGUUGUUCGGAAUUACUGGGCGUAAAGCGCGCGUAGGCGGUUUGCUCAGUCAGAUGUGAAAGCCCUCGGCUUAACCGGGGACGUGCAUUUGAUACUGGCAGACUUGAGUACUGGAGGGGGUGGUGGAAUUCCCGGUGUAGAGGUGAAAUUCGUAGAUAUCGGGAGGAAUACCGGUGGCGAAGGCGACCACCUGGCCAGAUACUGACGCUGAGGUGCGAAAGCGUGGGGAGCAAA
This 411-nucleotide ribosomal RNA is filed under the name uncultured bacterium. RNAcentral's name for it is "bacterial SSU rRNA". It matches the Rfam family "Bacterial small subunit ribosomal RNA", at positions 370 to 772 of the family's 1533-position model. The record is from RNAcentral.